This 624-nucleotide ribosomal RNA is filed under the name Carabus splendens. Its description in RNAcentral is "eukaryotic LSU rRNA". The stretch from base 570 to 624 matches the Rfam family "Eukaryotic large subunit ribosomal RNA", at positions 1 to 55 of the family's 3401-position model. The record is from RNAcentral. Lineage: Eukaryota; Metazoa; Arthropoda; Insecta; Coleoptera; Carabidae.
CAAGUCGAACGCACAUUGCGGUCCGCGGAUACUGUUCCUGGACCACGCCUGGCUGAGGGUCGUGCUAUAUUACCAGACUGCCGGUCGUCUUGUUGUCACUGUCGUCUAACGGCACACAACAACGAUGAUCUCGGCGACGAUGGGUAUCGGGGAACCAGUGGUGUUUUGUUACUGGCAACAUACGUUGUCGUGUGCAAUUCACGUUACACUGCCCGUUUCCUUAAAUCACUGUUCACACACUAAACCGAAUAACACUGUUUUGCACAGUUUAUUCACACAGUGCACAUUUACGUAUCGUAUUGCGGGACUCUCGUAUGCCAUACUGUAUUUAUGUUUUGUGUGUUAAUAAGUGCGGAGUUGUCGGACGUGUCCAUGAGUAUCAUGAUAACUGUGACGGUCGCAAGCUCUUUACAGAGUAUUGUAGUCACAUUAUGUUUGUUACCCGCGGACGUUCGUAGAUACUUGGCUUAGAGACAUACAGUUUACGAACAUUAAUAUUGUGCGCAUACACUAUAUGGGCUGUAACGCUUUAUGUGUGUAAAUGUUGUGCGACUAAGAAUUUAGAUUUGCGACCUCAGAUCAGGUGGGAUUACCCGCUGAAUUUAAGCAUAUCAAUAAGCGGAG